CGACAUGUGACCUAAAGAUUCAUACUC
RNAcentral lists this non-coding RNA (27 nucleotides) under Bombyx mori (domestic silkworm). Lineage: Eukaryota; Metazoa; Arthropoda; Insecta; Lepidoptera; Bombycidae. The record is from RNAcentral.